This 292-nucleotide ribosomal RNA is filed under the name uncultured bacterium. RNAcentral describes it as "partial 16S ribosomal RNA". It matches the Rfam family "Bacterial small subunit ribosomal RNA", at positions 505 to 796 of the family's 1533-position model. The record is from RNAcentral.
GUGUCAGCCGCCGCGGUAAGACAGAGGUGGCGAGCGUUGUUCGGAUUUAUUGGGCGUAAAGCGUACGCAGGCGGUUUGGUAAGUCAGAGGUGAAAUUCCGCAGCUUAACUGCGGCACUGCCUUUGAUACUGCCUUUCUAGAGUAUAUGAGGGGGAAGCGGAAUUCCGAGUGUAGAGGUGAAAUUCGUAGAUAUUCGGAGGAACACCGGUGGCGAAGGCGGCUUCCUGGCAUAUAACUGACGCUCAUGUACGAAAGCGUGGGUAGCAAACAGGAUUAGAAACCCCCGUAGUCC